AUUAACUGAAUCCAUAGGUUAAUGAGGCGAACCGGGGGAACUGAAACAUCUAAGUACCCCGAGGAAAAGAAAUCAACCGAGAUUCCCCCAGUAGCGGCGAGCGAACGGGGAGGAGCCCAGAGCCUGAAUCAGUGUGUGUGUUAGUGGAAGCGUCUGGAAAGGCGCGCGAUACAGGGUGACAGCCCCGUACACAAAAAUGCACAUACUGUGAGCUCGAUGAGUAGGGCGGGACACGUGGUAUCCUGUCUGAAUAUGGGGGGACCAUCCUCCAAGGCUAAAUACUCCUGACUGACCGAUAGUGAACCAGUACCGUGAGGGAAAGGCGAAAAGAACCCCGGCGAGGGGAGUGAAAAAGAACCUGAAACCGUGUACGUACAAGCAGUGGGAGCCUCUUUAUGGGGUGACUGCGUACCUUUUGUAUAAUGGGUCAGCGACUUAUAUUCUGUAGCAAGGUUAACCGAAUAGGGGAGCCGAAGGGAAACCGAGUCUUAACUGGGCGUUAAGUUGCAGGGUAUAGACCCGAAACCCGGUGAUCUAGCCAUGGGCAGGUUGAAGGUUGGGUAACACUAACUGGAGGACCGAACCGACUAAUGUUGAAAAAUUAGCGGAUGACUUGUGGCUGGGGGUGAAAGGCCAAUCAAACCGGGAGAUAGCUGGUUCUCCCCGAAAGCUAUUUAGGUAGCGCCUCGUGAAUUCAUCUCCGGGGGUAGAGCACUGUUUCGGCAAGGGGGUCAUCCCGACUUACCAACCCGAUGCAAACUGCGAAUACCGGAGAAUGUUAUCACGGGAGACACACGGCGGGUGCUAACGUCCGUCGUGAAGAGGGAAACAACCCAGACCGCCAGCUAAGGUCCCAAAGUCAUGGUUAAGUGGGAAACGAUGUGGGAAGGCCCAGACAGCCAGGAUGUUGGCUUAGAAGCAGCCAUCAUUUAAAGAAAGCGUAAUAGCUCACUGGUCGAGUCGGCCUGCGCGGAAGAUGUAACGGGGCUAAACCAUGCACCGAAGCUGCGGCAGCGACACUAAGUGUUGUUGGGUAGGGGAGCGUUCUGUAAGCCUGUGAAGGUGUGUUGUGAGGCAUGCUGGAGGUAUCAGAAGUGCGAAUGCUGACAUAAGUAACGAUAAAGCGGGUGAAAAGCCCGCUCGCCGGAAGACCAAGGGUUCCUGUCCAACGUUAAUCGGGGCAGGGUGAGUCGACCCCUAAGGCGAGGCCGAAAGGCGUAGUCGAUGGGAAACAGGUUAAUAUUCCUGUACUUGGUGUUACUGCGAAGGGGGGACGGAGAAGGCUAUGUUGGCCGGGCGACGGUUGUCCCGGUUUAAGCGUGUAGGCUGGUUUUCCAGGCAAAUCCGGAAAAUCAAGGCUGAGGCGUGAUGACGAGGCACUACGGUGCUGAAGCGACAAAUGCCCUGCUUCCAGGAAAAG
RNAcentral lists this ribosomal RNA (1420 nucleotides) under Escherichia fergusonii. Its description in RNAcentral is "partial 23S ribosomal RNA". It matches the Rfam family "Bacterial large subunit ribosomal RNA", at positions 153 to 1617 of the family's 2925-position model. Lineage: Bacteria; Pseudomonadati; Pseudomonadota; Gammaproteobacteria; Enterobacterales; Enterobacteriaceae. The record is from RNAcentral.